AAACCAGUCUAGUCUGAUAUACUCAGCAACUCCAUCCAACUAGUCUGAUUUUGUCUGUAGUUGUAGGGUGGGCUUGUGUAUGAGAGCUGACAACCAAUGAGCACGCACCCAGAAUUACAAUGCACAGAAUGCAGUGACGAGGAUAAGCAACGCUGGAGUUUUGGACAGGAACAGAAGAGACACUCGUCUGUCUGAUAUGUCAUGUUUUGCAUAACA
Erpetoichthys calabaricus (reedfish) is the source of this 216-nucleotide long non-coding RNA. RefSeq lists it as uncharacterized. NCBI's taxonomy places the organism in Eukaryota, Metazoa, Chordata, Cladistia, Polypteriformes, Polypteridae. The record is from RefSeq and is a predicted model, not a curated record. The transcript is spliced from 2 exons.